RNAcentral lists this ribosomal RNA (406 nucleotides) under uncultured bacterium. RNAcentral's name for it is "partial 16S ribosomal RNA". It matches the Rfam family "Bacterial small subunit ribosomal RNA", at positions 29 to 526 of the family's 1533-position model. The record is from RNAcentral.
AUUGAACGCUGGCGGCAGGCCUAACACAUGCAAGUCGAGCGAGCGGCGGACGGGUGAGUACUGUCUGGUAAACUGCCUGAUGGAGGGGGAUAACUACUGGAAACGGUAGCUAAUACCGCAUACCAUCAGAUGUGCCCAGGUGGGAUUAGCUGGUAGGUGGGGUAACGGCUCACCUGGGCGACGAUCCCUAGCUGGUCUGAGAGGAUGACCAGCAAAACUGGAACUGAGACACGGUCCAGAGUCCUACGGAGGGCAGCAGGGGCGAAUAAUGCACAAUGGGCGCAAGCCUGAUGCAGCCAUGACGCGUGUGUGAAGAAGGCCUUCGGGUUGUAAAGCAAUUUCAGCGGGGAGGCGUUACCCGCAGAAGAAGCACCGGCUAACUCCGUGCCAGCAGCCGCGGUAAUAC